UUUUCUUUUUAAUGUGAGCGUGUUCUCUUAUGUCACUUUAAUAGCUUAAGCAAACUCUAAACUUAUUUUUUCAGUUGUGGCAAAAUGCGCACAGCGCUACCGUCUUAACCGUUUUUAAAUACACGCUUCAUUGGUGUUGGGACAUUCACGUUGUUGGGCAACCAUCGCUACCGUCCGUCUCCGGAACUGCUUUCAUCUUGCAAAACUGGCAAACCUAAAAAAUAGCAUCUUCCCCAUCUGUCUUGUUCAUCCUCCCUAUUCUUGUAUUCUUGACUGCUCUUUCGUUUUUGCCACAUCAUAUCCUCUCCCAGCCUGCUCACCCUGAUGGGGUAUUUUCUAAUGAACUCGCAAACAGAGCCGCUCUAUUUCAGGCAAUCAGCAUUUGCUGAAUGUGGAAUUUAAAUUCUGUCCCAGUGAAGUGUUUGAUACCUGUCGUCCCACCUGGGACCAAGUCAGAUGCAUCAGGACACCUGCCCGACGUCACUGUCGUCAGCGAUGUUUUCCCCUGUGCAGGCUUGGGACAAAAAGCCUCGGUCCUGGUUGUUGCGACGGUCAGAAGAGACGAUUUAGUCGAGGCUCGUGCCUUUAGCAGAGGCCUUUGUUUCGUAGCCUCCGACCCUCCGUUCUUUGGUCUUUACUUUGCAGAGCACGUUUCCUUAAUAAGCUUGCUUCAGCCUCUGAAGCGUUCCAAGUAGAAGCUUUACUUGGAUAUGCAGUAACUUGCAGCCAAAAUGGUGCCAAGGUCCCGACCACAUAGUCACUGUCACCUUGAAGUUUGUGAAACCAACAAAAAAACAAGUGCCACAGCGAGUCUGAUUUGACCACUGAAUUCUCAGGUCGUUUUGUCGCGAUCUGCCCUCAGUUCCUGCUCCCUUUUCCUUCGCCAGCUUGUCCAAAUCUGCAGUCAGAGCUUCCUCACUGUCCCCCGGCUGCUGAAACCACUUUCCCUGCGCCUUCCCAGGCAAGCAGGCGGUAGAUGAGACUCAUCACACCGAGAUUUGUGAGCCAGACCACACGGUCAGAAUCCUGGCUGUGCCAGGAUGAUCACUGUGACUUGGGGCAAAUUAACUUAAUUUCUCUGAGUCUCGGUUUUCUCCACUGUAAACUCUGCCAUGGUUUGGCAUUGGGGGAUGAAAUGAGACAUUCUGUAGAAAGUCCACAAAUGGCCGGCACGUUGUAGACUCACCACACUGUCAGUUUAUCUUCUUCAACUUCUGGGUGAUUCCUGCCCUCUGAUCAUAAAUGAGCUUGACGGAGACCUUACCUUCUGCUUACCUUGCGCUAUACUCUUGGUUUCCAGAAACCAUGGUUAAAAUGGUAGUGUUAGAAUAACGUGUGUCAAGAUUGAUUAUCUUAGGUGGAGGAGAAAAAAAAUACUGAGGAUCUCAAAAGAUAAAGAGGUUGGACUUAAUCCUACAGCAAAAGAUGUUUGUAAUCCAAUGGACACACAGAAAUGCACUGAGGAAAAAAGUCGCAAAGGUCGCGUGAAAUGCCGGGAAGUUAGACACGAGGCAACGAGAAGAAGACUGUUCUGCGUAACACUUCCGCGUCAUGGGGAGAGUGACCUGUGCUAUAGUGAAGUGCACUUAAGGUGAUGUAUCACAUUGAUUGAUUUGCGAAUAUUGAACCAGC
Long non-coding RNA from Herpailurus yagouaroundi (jaguarundi), 1632 nucleotides. RefSeq lists it as uncharacterized. The transcript has 4 exons. The record is from RefSeq and is a predicted model, not a curated record. Lineage: Eukaryota; Metazoa; Chordata; Mammalia; Carnivora; Felidae.